GUUGUGAGCACAGCUUGAGGGCAGUCAUCCACCUCUUCACAUAUUUUCCAUCCGUCAGCUGUGAGAGGCAGAGUGUCAGGUUGUUCAGUUUGGCAAGAUGAGCUCAAGAGGGAAGCCACAACAAAGAAGGAGGCUGCUGCCAUCAUUAGGUGUCUGCCACGCCUAUGAGUCAGUGGAGCCUGCACUUCCGUGGGACGCCUGUAGCAAGCUGAGGGGCAGUUCAUGUUUUCCAUUCACAAAGGAGUCUAUGACCAUUUUACCGUAUCUGCGUAAGAGUCUCCAUGACACAACAGUACCCACGUCACCUCAGACUCUGCACUUGAUGGAUCAGCUGACAUCACCUGGAUCCAUAAACUGGCUCAUCUGAUCUUGCGGUCCCCAUUCAGGAACUGACUCACUGCAAGAGGACAGCUUCAACUCCCUAUAAUUUCAUCUCUGACCCAAACAAUCAGCACUCUCAACUCACCAGCCUUCCCCCACCCACC
Molecule: long non-coding RNA, 485 nt
Filed under: Homo sapiens (human)
Lineage: Eukaryota; Metazoa; Chordata; Mammalia; Primates; Hominidae
Description: HSALNT0071524
Source: RNAcentral